Molecule: ribosomal RNA, 140 nt
Filed under: uncultured crenarchaeote
Lineage: Archaea; Thermoproteati; Thermoproteota
Description: 16S ribosomal RNA
Rfam family: Archaeal small subunit ribosomal RNA
Source: RNAcentral
AAGCAACUGCUCCAGGAUGGGACUGCGACUGAUCAGGCUGUUGGCGGGGUAAUGGCCCACCAAACCAGUAACCAGUACGGGCCUUGAGAGAGGGGGCCCGGAGAUGGACACUGAGAGAAGGGUCCAGGUCCUUCGAGGCG